ACGCUUUUCUUUCGCGACAAAAUGCCUAUAUGGGGAAUUGCCGGUUUCGACCGGCUAUGGCGAUAAAUUGUGGCGUGCAAUAGGCACAGCGGACCCGGGGGCAGUACCCGGCGGCUCCACCAUAACCGGUGGUGUAUCUGGACACCGUUUCUGACGGGGCCGAACCAGGAUCGACGUGUGUUGAAAAACGCUGUUUUCGCUCGGAAUGGGACCACCGAAACGGCCCAUAUUCACAAGUGCCAACGAUAACGAAGCACUCGCUAUUGCGGCGUAAUCUGACGGCCUAACGGCCAAAGAUUACUCUAAAAUGCGCGGUUGGACCGCACCGGGCAACAGAAGCGGAUUCC
Molecule: transfer-messenger RNA, 347 nt
Filed under: Stakelama pacifica
Lineage: Bacteria; Pseudomonadati; Pseudomonadota; Alphaproteobacteria; Sphingomonadales; Sphingomonadaceae
Description: Sphingosinicella sp. JLT832 Alphaproteobacteria transfer-messenger RNA
Rfam family: Alphaproteobacteria transfer-messenger RNA
About the family: Bacterial tmRNA, also known as 10Sa RNA or SsrA, is named for its dual tRNA and mRNA-like properties.
Source: Rfam by way of RNAcentral